RNAcentral lists this non-coding RNA (21 nucleotides) under Caenorhabditis elegans. Lineage: Eukaryota; Metazoa; Nematoda; Chromadorea; Rhabditida; Rhabditidae. The record is from RNAcentral.
UUCAGUUGAUUCUCCUUUUUU